UAUACACAUUCUUUGAAUGACUACUCCUUGUUCAUCAAAGGUAAGCCUGGCUCCUUUGUGGUGGUAGCUGUCUAUGUGGAUGACAUCAUACUUACUGGGGAUGACAAUGAUGAACUGACUGCUCUGAAACUAUUUCUGGAUGCACAGUUUAAAAUCAAGGAUUUGGGGUCCUUGCAUUAUUUCUUGGGCCUUGAAGUGUCUGUUGUCCCUGGUGGGAUGCACCUUAAUCAGCACAAGUAUAUUUUUGAUUUGCUAACUCAGUUUGACUGUGUCAAAGUCUCUUCUGUUGUGUCCCCUUUGGACAUCAAUGUCAAACUUCAUGCUGAUUCUGGUGACCUCUGGUGGUCAAUGUCUCUUCUGUUGUGUCCCCUUUGGACAUCAAUGUAAAACUUCAUGUUGAUUCUGGUGACCUCUUUCCCUCUCCUGACAAGUACAGGAGUCUAGUUGGCAAGAUGCUCUUCCUGACUCAUACUAGGCUUGACAUUUGUUUUGCAGUCCAGCAUCUGAGUCAAUUUCUCAAAUCGCCCAGACUUCCCCAUAUGACUGCUGCCCUGCAUGUUUUGAGAUACCUUAAAGGCACUCCAUCAUUGGGUUUAUUCUACUCUGCUCAUGCUGAUUUUUCUGUUACUAGGUAUUCUGAUAGUGACUGGGCUGCUUGCCCUGAUACUAGGCGCUCUAUUACUGGAUUUUGUGUACUUUUGGGUGGCUGUUUGAUCAGUUGGAAAUCGAAGAAACAGCCUGUUGUUUCUCUUUCCUC
RNAcentral lists this long non-coding RNA (757 nucleotides) under Nicotiana benthamiana. RNAcentral's name for it is "long non-coding RNA (NBEN_LNC018212)". Lineage: Eukaryota; Viridiplantae; Streptophyta; Magnoliopsida; Solanales; Solanaceae. The record is from RNAcentral.